GUCUACAGUCAUACCACCCUGAACACACCUCAGCCUCCUCUCAUCUUGGAAGCUGAGCAAGAUUAGACAUGGUUAGAUAGGGGAUAACCCAGAAUACCAGGCACUAUAGGCU
RNAcentral lists this ribosomal RNA (112 nucleotides) under Otolemur garnettii (small-eared galago). The record is from RNAcentral. Lineage: Eukaryota; Metazoa; Chordata; Mammalia; Primates; Galagidae.